AAAAAGAAAUGAGGCUCAAGAAAAAGCUGCUAACUUUUUUCUUUAAUAGUUUAACUCUAUUUAUUUCUUU
Molecule: transfer RNA, 70 nt
Filed under: Trichopygomyia trichopyga
Lineage: Eukaryota; Metazoa; Arthropoda; Insecta; Diptera; Psychodidae
Description: tRNA-Ser
Source: RNAcentral